This 254-nucleotide ribosomal RNA is filed under the name Anaplasma phagocytophilum. RNAcentral describes it as "partial 16S ribosomal RNA". It matches the Rfam family "Bacterial small subunit ribosomal RNA", at positions 191 to 447 of the family's 1533-position model. Lineage: Bacteria; Pseudomonadati; Pseudomonadota; Alphaproteobacteria; Rickettsiales; Anaplasmataceae. The record is from RNAcentral.
UCCCUGCGGGGGAAAGAUUUAUCGCUAUUAGAUGAGCCUAUGUUAGAUUAGCUAGUUGGUAGGGUAAAGGCCUACCAAGGCGAUGAUCUAUAGCUGGUCUGAGAGGAUGAUCAGCCACACUGGAACUGAGAUACGGUCCAGACUCCUACGGGAGGCAGCAGUGGGGAAUAUUGGACAAUGGGCGCAAGCCUGAUCCAGCUAUGCCGCGUGAGUGAGGAAGGCCUUAGGGUUGUAAAACUCUUUCAGUAGGGAAA